This 1631-nucleotide long non-coding RNA is filed under the name Pan troglodytes (chimpanzee). RNAcentral describes it as "long non-coding RNA NONPTRT017947". The record is from RNAcentral. Lineage: Eukaryota; Metazoa; Chordata; Mammalia; Primates; Hominidae.
CACGUGCAGGCCCGAGAAGGCAAAAGAGGCCCAGCCACUCUCACCGGAGAUUUUAUCCGCCUCCCCGGCACACACACACUCUCACUCACGCACUCGCUCGCCGGCCUUCCAGCUGUCUGUGUCCGGGGCGGGGACCGGCUUGGCACCGACCGCUGCGGGCGGGGCAGAGCGCGCCGCCCGCUGUCAGCGCUCGCCGGCUCCUCGCGCCCCUGCCCGCUGCGCUCUGCCCAGAGCAGAAGCCCGGCCGGCCGGCCCACGGGCGGGAGGACGGGCCUCCGCUCGGGCGGAGGCGGCGCGGUGGCUGAUCAGAGAGCGGAGGGCCUCGCCGGGGCCGGGAGCUGGGCGCGGUCCUGCUCAGCCCAGCUCGCCGCGCGCCGGCCCUCGGCGCCCUGGUUCUGCGGAUCAGGAGUUGAAACCAGCACCUUCCCUUUCUCUGAGUCCUGCCUCCUUCUGCAGAAGGGAGCUCAAAAGAACUUUGUUGUUUUGCCUUUUACUCUGGGGUGAAAGCGGCAGACGAUGAGGAGAAAAUAAUGAAUGUCAAAGGAAAAGUAAUUCUGUCAAUGCUGGUUGUCUCAACUGUGAUCAUUGUGUUUUGGGAAUUUAUCAACAGCACAGAAGGCUCUUUCUUGUGGAUAUAUCACUCAAAAAACCCAGAAGUUGAUGACAGCAGUGCUCAGAAGGGCUGGUGGUUUCUGAGCUGGUUUAACAAUGGGAUCCACAAUUAUCAACAAGGGGAAGAAGACAUAGACAAAGAAAAAGGAAGAGAGGAGACCAAAGGAAGGAAAAUGACACAACAGAGCUUCGGCUAUGGGACUGGUUUAAUCCAAACUUGAAGGAAUCCAAAUAACUAAACUGGACUCUGGUUUUCUGACUCAGUCCUUCUAGAAGACCUGGACUGAGAGAUCAUGCAGUUAAGGAGUGUGUAACAGGCGGACCACCUGUUGGGACUGCGAGAUUCUCAAGGGGAAGGACUGGGUCUCAUUUCUCCCAUCUCAGCGCUUAGCAGGAUGACCUGGUAUACAGCAGGGAACUGGGAAAUGUGGGUCAGGGGAUCAGACACCCCAGUUGGGUCUUUUAUAUAAAUUAAAUGGCAAAAGGCUCCAUACCCUUCUCCUUCUUUCCUACCCUCCACUUUAUCUGCAAAAUGGGAAUGAUGAUAACACCCACUUCAUAGAAUGGUCAUGAAGAUCAAAUGAGAGAAUAAAAGUCAAGCACUUAGCCUCUGGUGCACAAUAAGUAUUAAAUAAGUUAUACCUAUUCCUCCUUUUCCUUUUUUAAAAAUAAUAUUACCAAAUGUCCAGCCUAUACACAGUUACAAGACUUAGCUAGUGGGCUAUGUUAGAGCUACUAAAAGAUCUUUGACAAGCUAAAACUAAGAUGCAAUGAAUGAGGUGUAACGAACAAGAGAGUUUUAAGUUCAGAAAUGGUUACAGAAGUAUAAGACAGCUGUGUGGGUGUUUUUUGGUUUUUGGUUUCUGGUUUACAAUCUCGUCAUUCAACAAAGAUGGGAGUUUUAUAGAACUAAAAGCACCAUGUAAGCUACUAAAAACAACAACAAAAAAGGCUCAUCAUUUCUCAGUCUGAAUUGACAAAAAUGCCAAUGCUAAUAAAAAUGAUUACUUUUUAUUUUA